RNAcentral lists this ribosomal RNA (253 nucleotides) under uncultured bacterium. RNAcentral's name for it is "partial 16S ribosomal RNA". It matches the Rfam family "Bacterial small subunit ribosomal RNA", at positions 524 to 776 of the family's 1533-position model. The record is from RNAcentral.
UACGUAGGGUGCGAGCGUUGUCCGGAAUUAUUGGGCGUAAAGAGCUUGUAGGCGGUCUGUCGCGUCUGCUGUGAAAAUCCGGGGCUCAACCCCGGACUUGCAGUGGGUACGGGCAGACUAGAGUGUGGUAGGGGAGACUGGAAUUCCUGGUGUAGCGGUGAAAUGCGCAGAUAUCAGGAGGAACACCGAUGGCGAAGGCAGGUCUCUAGAACGUAACUGACGCUGAGACGCGAAAGCGUGGGGAGCAAACAGG